Molecule: ribosomal RNA, 277 nt
Filed under: uncultured bacterium
Lineage: Bacteria
Description: partial 16S ribosomal RNA
Rfam family: Bacterial small subunit ribosomal RNA
Source: RNAcentral
GGUUAACGCUGGCGGCGUGCCUAACGCAUGCAAGUCGAGCGAGGGCUUUCCUCUCGCAAGGGAGGGGAGUACCUAGCGGCGAACGGGUGAGUAACACGUGGGCAACCUUUCCCAUGGUGGGGGAUAACACCGGGAAACCGGUGCUAAUACCGCAUGAGGUCUUUGGGGGCAUCCUCGAAGAAGAAAGCAGAGAUGCGCGAUGGGGUGGGCCCGCGGCCUAUCAGCUAGUCGGUGGGGUGACGGCCUACCGAGGCAUUGACGGGUAGCUGGUCUGAGA